RNAcentral lists this ribosomal RNA (253 nucleotides) under uncultured bacterium. Its description in RNAcentral is "partial 16S ribosomal RNA". It matches the Rfam family "Bacterial small subunit ribosomal RNA", at positions 524 to 776 of the family's 1533-position model. The record is from RNAcentral.
UACGUAGGGAGCAAGCGUUGUCCGGAAUCAUUGGGCGUAAAGCGCGCGUAGGCGGCCCGGUAAGUCCGUUGUGAAAGUCAAAGGCUCAACCUUUGAAAGCCGAUGGAUACUGCCGGGCUAGAGUCCGGAAGAGGCGAGUGGAAUUCCUGGUGUAGCGGUGGAAUGCGCAGAUAUCAGGAGGAACACCCAUAGCGAAGGCAGCUCGCUGGGACGGUACUGACGCUAAGGCGCGAAAGCGUGGGGAGCGAACAGG